Molecule: ribosomal RNA, 253 nt
Filed under: uncultured bacterium
Lineage: Bacteria
Description: partial 16S ribosomal RNA
Rfam family: Bacterial small subunit ribosomal RNA
Source: RNAcentral
UACGAAGGGGGCUAGCGUUGCUCGGAAUUACUGGGCGUAAAGGGAGCGUAGGCGGGUCGUCAAGUUGGGGGUGAAAGCCCAGGGCUCAACCUUGGAACUGCCUUCAAAACUGACGAUCUAGAGUAUGGAAGAGGUAAGUGGAACUCCGAGUGCAGAGGUGAAAUUCGUAGAUAUUCGGAAGAACACCAGUGGCGAAGGCGACUUACUGGUCCAUGACUGACGCUGAGGCUCGAAAGCUAGGGGAGCAAACAGG